GUAGGUGCAAGCGUUGUCCGGAAUUAUUGGGCGUAAAGCGCGCGCAGGCGGUCCUUUAAGUCUGAUGUGAAAGCCCACGGCUCAACCGUGGAGGGUCAUUGGAAACUGGGGGACUUGAGUACAGAAGAGGAAAGCGGAAUUCCAAGUGUAGCGGUGAAAUGCGUAGAGAUUUGGAGGAACACCAGUGGCGAAGGCGGCUUUCUGGUCUGUAACUGACGCUGAGGCGCGAAAGCGUGGGGAGCAAACAGGAUUAGAUACCCUGGUAGUCCACGCCGUAAACGAUGAGUGCUAAGUGUUAGGGGGUUUCCGCCCCCUUAGUGCUGCAGCUAACGCAUUAAGCACUCCGCCUGGGGAGUACGGCCGCAAGGCUG
This 371-nucleotide ribosomal RNA is filed under the name uncultured organism. Its description in RNAcentral is "partial 16S ribosomal RNA". It matches the Rfam family "Bacterial small subunit ribosomal RNA", at positions 528 to 896 of the family's 1533-position model. The record is from RNAcentral.